CCUACGGGAGGCAGCAGUGAGGAAUAUUGGUCAAUGGACGAGAGUCUGAACCAGCCAAGUAGCGUGAAGGAUGACUGCCCUAUGGGUUGUAAACUUCUUUUAUAUGGGAAUAAAAUGUUCCACGUGUGGGAUUUUGUAUGUACCAUAUGAAUAAGGAUCAGCUAACUCCGUGCCAGCAGCCGCGGUAAUACGGAGGAUCUGAGCGUUAUCCGGAUUUAUUGGGUUUAAAGGGAGCGUAGGUGGAUUGUUAAGUCAGUUGUGAAAGUUUGCUGCUCAACCGUAAAAUUGCAGUUGAAACUGGCAGUCUUGAGUACAGUAGAGGUGGGCGGAAUUCGUGGUGUAGCGGUGAAAUGCUUAGAUAUCACGAAGAACUCCGAUUGCGAAGGCAGUUCACUGGACUGCAACUGACACUGAGGCUCGAAAGUGUGGGUAUCAAACAGGAUUAGAUACCCGUGUAGUC
RNAcentral lists this ribosomal RNA (460 nucleotides) under uncultured bacterium. Its description in RNAcentral is "partial 16S ribosomal RNA". It matches the Rfam family "Bacterial small subunit ribosomal RNA", at positions 338 to 795 of the family's 1533-position model. The record is from RNAcentral.